This 1543-nucleotide long non-coding RNA is filed under the name Homo sapiens (human). Its description in RNAcentral is "uncharacterized LOC105373643, transcript variant 2 (LOC105373643)". Lineage: Eukaryota; Metazoa; Chordata; Mammalia; Primates; Hominidae. The record is from RNAcentral.
AGAAUUGAAUAUCCAAACCCCUAUCUAGUUAGUGUGCUUCUUAGAAUACAAAUAGAAUUACAAAAUGUUUCAGUAAUCAAAAAGGGACAGCAUCGGCAAACAGUUGACAUCAAAAUUGUCUGCUCAUCAAAGAGGAAUGACAGAUCCUCCUUCAUCAACAUGUUUUCCUUAGGAAUGGUGCCAGGAUGCAGGGCAUAAGUGAGAGGACAGUUCCCUUGGUUAUGAGGUAACUAAAAAUAGCCACCUUUGAAAGCCAUCAGAGGUCACUUGUUUUGAAGAAAAUCAUCAGAAGAACUUUGAACUAUAAGAUAUUGACUAUUAAAUCAUGUUAUUUUCUUCAUUUGUCAAAGUUAUUGGGAUGUAGCAAAUACUUGAGACUUUGAAUUGAGUAGAUUUUGAGUAGAUUUAUGAAUGAAAUCAAAGGACACACAAAAACAGUGUAAUUCACCCAUCUGGAGACUCCACGUAUGAGUUUGAAAACUUUUAGUAUGUAUGCCAAUUAGUCCAUCCAGCCAAAUAGGCACAACAAUUUUCCGAUAAUAAGAAAAAUAAGACCAAGAAGCUAGCUGGAAUACUAAGAAAAACAACAGAGGGAGUUAAAUUCUUCAUUAAAAUUGACCACUUCUAGAGGCCUUGCAGGAAAUAUUAAAAUAAGUUCUUCAAUGAGAAUGAAAAUGAUAUAGGUCAGAAACUUGGAUCUGCAUGAAGAUACACCUUAAAAAAGGAAGAGCAUCAGAAAAAUGAAUAAGUGAAGGUCAAGUGCUGUGCUGUACUGAUUGAUAGAUUGUCUCCAGCAGGAAGUUUGACAAUGGACAACCUAGAAGCAGAUGUGCCUGGUACAUAUCAGGGGUGAUGGAGGUUUCAGGAUUAUGCUGACUGAAAUAUGGAGGCUCUGUAUCUGUAUAUAGCCUGAGGACCUCAACAGAUGCACCUGCCCAAUCUUAAACUUUCCAGCAAUCUGAAUUGUGAGCCAAAUAAUUUUUUUAUAAAUUAUCCAGCUUCAAGUAUUAUACCAACAAAAAAAAGGAAAUGCAAUGAGUCAAUAUACUUACUGAGAUUGCAGAAGAGACUGAACACUGCGCUAGGCUCUGAAGAGAAAGAUGAAAAAGAAGAAAGUGCUCCUGAGUAUAUGACUACUUGUACUUGCUAGCACUGAGGCAAGUACAAACUCUAGGCAUCAGGCUUUUGGUCUCACUCUUAGCGAAUUUGAACACUGGCUUUUUUGUUGGGCUUCCAUUCUUCUCUCAGCGCAAGAAUACCAACGUUUAUGACCCAGGAAGCACCAACUUAUACUUCACAGAGCUAAGAAACAGCAUUUCGCCAUGUCACGCAGGCUGGUCUUCAACUCCUGGACUCAAGCUAUCCACGGGCCUCGGCCUCCCAAAGUGCUAGGAUUACAGGCAUGAGCCACUAUGUCCGGCUUGGAGUUUUUAGUCUCAUCAAACCAACUCACCCAAAUGUCCCUUGGUGACAAAAAGUUUUCUGAAAGAUUAAGUAAUCUUUGUUUCCCAAGCCUGACAAAAUAAAAAGUUUUCUGUCUCUC